This is a long non-coding RNA of Pan paniscus (pygmy chimpanzee), 1006 nucleotides long. NCBI's taxonomy places the organism in Eukaryota, Metazoa, Chordata, Mammalia, Primates, Hominidae. The record is from Ensembl.
UAUGAGUUCAGAGGGAAGGAAGUGCAUGCUGAUUGGUUCAUGGGAGGCCAUGGACAGGCCCACAGAAAGCGUCAUAAGUUCACAUCCUUGUCCAUCAGCCCAGCCCUCAGGCUUCACGCCAUCCUUGGCUUGAAGGUGAGGCUUCAAAGGGGACCUGAUUCUUUUCACCCUGGAGUUUAUCUACCUCCUGCCAUUGCCUAGGUUGUUUGUGCUGAGUGGUAUCUGCAAGCCAGUGCCAGGUUGCCCUCAGCCCCCUCUGUCAGACUCCCUCCUGUGGUUGUCGGUGCCCAAAGUCUGAAGGGCGCAGAGGCGGCAAGGGGCGGGCAUGUCAAUGCUGUCUUGAGCACACGCACAGCCGGCCAGGUCGUGACAGCGCCUGGGCUCAGCCUAUAUUCUGCUCCAAGAUCAGAGUGGGUGCUGGGAACGGAGAGAGGCCAGACAGCCGGAGCAGGCACUGCCAAACCUACGGGGGCAGGGGGGAUUCUAGGCCCCUGAAAACGCAGAGACACCCGGGCCAGCAGCUGUGGCCUGGGCUGCAGCUGCGCCCAGAAGGGCGGGGCUCCUGUCCGGGCUGGGCUCCUGACUGUUCCUGGCCCCCAGGAGCACAGAGAUGCCUGGGUCCCGAGCCUCGGCUGGGCGGCCGCAGCUUUGCCCGGGGAGCAGGAGGCUCCUGCCGUGCCAACUCGAAGGAGACAGGGAUUCCACCUUUUCCCAGUUUUUGCCAGCUCCCUGGAGCACAGCCCCGGCUGAGCCUGCCCCACUGCAGCCGGCAUCAUGGCAGUGGCUGCUCAAGACAGGAUGCUGAUGCCAUCAAUACUUUUCACAAGCCACUGAGUCAUCUGUUGAAUGCCACCUGGAAGGUAACUAUACUACUGCCUUAGCAAUGGAUGUUUUAAUGCCAAGGACAUCUAUAAUAUCCUUUAUAUCGUGUUCCUUCAACUGCUGAUGCUUGUCACCUGACACGGUAGUGGUUGCUAAGGUAAAUGCAGAUUUGUAUCUCCUAUAG